Molecule: non-coding RNA, 261 nt
Organism: Biomphalaria pfeifferi
Lineage: Eukaryota; Metazoa; Mollusca; Gastropoda; Planorbidae
Source: the annotation of a GenBank genome assembly
CUUUUGUUCCUUUAGACAUAGUUGUAUUUUGUGUUUUUUUUACAUGAAUUGUGCAAAUGUUCCAUGAGUCUGAUUUUGUUCAUUGCAGCCACUUGUUAGUUCCGUUACACGCUACCACUGUUACACGCUACCACUGACAGUUACUUGUUACAUGUUAUCACUUUUACUUGUUACCACGGUUACUGCUACGUCACAUCAUUUAGUACUGUCAUUUGUUACCUUGCGCUGUUGUUACACGCUAUCCUUGUUACUAGCUACCAC